GAUGAAGAACGCAGCGAAAUGCGAUAAGUAAUGUGAAUUGCAGAAUUCAGUGAAUCAUCGAAUCUUUGAACGCACAUUGCGCCCCUUGGUAUUCCGGGGGGCAUGCCUGUUCGAGCGUCAUUAUCACCCCUCAAGCUUUGCUUGGUGUUGGGGCCUGCUGUAAUAGGCAGCCCUUAAAAUCAGUGGCGGUGCUUCAAGGCUCUAAGCGUAGUAAUUCUCCUCGCUAUAGUGUCUAGUGGUUGCCAGCCAGAACCCCCCAAUUUUCAUGAUUGACCUCGGAUCAGGUAGGGAUACCCGCUGAACUUAAGCAUAUCAAUAAGCGGAGGA
RNAcentral lists this unclassified non-coding RNA (327 nucleotides) under soil metagenome. RNAcentral's name for it is "partial contains 5.8S ribosomal RNA, internal transcribed spacer 2, and large subunit ribosomal RNA". The stretch from base 1 to 120 matches the Rfam family "5.8S ribosomal RNA", at positions 35 to 154 of the family's 154-position model. The record is from RNAcentral.